Long non-coding RNA from Chelonia mydas (Green sea turtle), 4804 nucleotides. RefSeq lists it as uncharacterized. The transcript has 2 exons. Lineage: Eukaryota; Metazoa; Chordata; Testudines; Cheloniidae. The record is from RefSeq and is a predicted model, not a curated record.
CAGGAGACGGGAGCGUCCCCGGCCGCCAACAAAGGGCGCGAGGGGGGCUCCCUGCAGCCUUGGCGUGGGCUCUGGGGCCGCGGGGCUGCAGCCCGGCGCGUCUGCAGCCGAAGUGCAGGUACCUCCUUGCCCUGGGAGCGACAGUGCAGUGGGGCUCGUCUGCCCUCACCCCAGCCCCGUUGCCCGGCCGCCCGCCUCCCUCCCUCUCUCCCUCUAAAGCGACUGCUGAGGAGGCAGCAGCCGCCUAGCUAGGCACUGUGGGGUCCCGUUGCCUUUUACAGCAGCUGCGCUGCCUCAUCCCUCCUAGCCGGGACAGCUCUGCACGUAGAGCGCUGCUCAGCCUGCCCACCAGCUGCCCUGACUGCUGCUUGUCCCUCCUGAAGUUUCUUCGCAAAGUCUCUGCCUCAGAGGGGCGAUGGAUGCUGAGGAGGACGCUAGGGGUCUGUCCUGCCUGAAAUGGGUUGGGUUGUUCCUUAAGAUCAUGCAAAAACAUCCCGACUAGAAACUGACCAGCUGCAGUAGCAUCUUUGCCAGUUACAGUUAGAAACUAAAUAGCCUAUCCUUGGACUUGUCUUUCAAAUGCGCUCUUCCCCACCCCUCGCGUGUGAACGCAUUGGGCAUGGAGGAUGCAAAUCUCUGUUUCUUUUAGAUUCAUAGUCCCAUUAGUAUUGGUGACAGAUUAUGUAAUAGGAUGGAAGAACAACCUGGGUCAUUAUUUGCGUGAGCCCCAGGACUUGAUUUUUGCUAAAUUACACUGAAGAGAUUUGAAGACUAACAAAGCCACUCAUCAGUUUUGUGCAUCGUUUGCUAAAACCGAUGUGGAAAAAUAGAAGGGCAUAAAAUUAUUAGCAGUAGGUUUAAUUUUAAUAAGAUUUUCAUGCAUCUAAUAUUGCUACAGUCUCAUGUACUGGAAACUAAGCUAUUGCUAUAUGGUUGUUGCAGAAGGUAGCUCACUUUGUUUUAGAGAUGCAUUACUAUUUUAGCUGCUGAGUGAUUUCCAGACCACAUUAUUAGAAAGUAAGCGACAGAUGUCACUGUGUUGUAGAUUAAAACUCUCUCUGGUAGUGUUUUGAGUGUGCAUGGCUGUUGGGAAAUCCCUUGUUUCCUUAACAGAAUAAACCCACUUCAUUUUGAAGGGGAACACUUUGUUUUGCUUUUCCCCCCUGCUAUUUGGGGCAGUUGGGAGUUUGAAAGGAAGCUAAGGUGCCUAACUCCCACUGAGGGCUAAGAGAGUUGGAUGCUUAGCUCCUUUUUGUGCUUUUGAAAAUCACUGACAUGUUGAUACUCCUAAAAGCAACUUCGUGCCUACCAACUGUAAUGCAGGAUAAAGUAAAACAAGUUAGAGAGUAAAUCUCAUUACUCAGGUAACACAGUGGUAUUUCAAGGAGAUGGCAACAUGUUAAUGUGCUGUUAGGAUCCUUCCCUCAUUAAUCCAUUUACGCAGUAGCUUAGAAAAUAAAAAAAAUUGGCACCACUGAAAUAAAAUGUUACGGUAACAUGAAUUAGAAGUUAUUUACAUUAUGUAUGUGACUCCAUCCAGAAAAGCUUAUCAAUGGGUCUAUAUAGUAUGGCAGGGUCAGACUGGCUUUCAAGUUCCCUUGAAGGAGAGAGAGAAAAAAUCAGCUGUUUAAUGUCAUGUUGUGGUAGGUGUAUUAAAGGAGGAAUUCAUGGAAUAGCAAUUUGUUGUAACUAAAGUAGUAGUAGUAACAGAAGAAUUUCUAUCUACCAUUUUGCAUGUAAUAAAAACCAUUGCAAGUAGUAUAGCAUUGACUGGCAUUCACUGAAGGGAGUAAUGUGAUGGUGUCAUAAGUAAUUGACUGACAUAAUUGAAAUAUGUCUGAGUGACAGAGAAGAUAUAAUUUAGCAACAACAGAAAAAGGUUUGAGAUUAAUCUGACCAAAACAUCUGCUAAAAUUAAUCCCCUUUCAGAAUUUAAUAUCCAAACCCUUAUUAGAGUAAUUUUUGAUUGAUACUCAAUACUAGAGUAGUGAUUUGUGGCCACUUAUGUACAGUCAUACUACAGUGAGAAAACUGUAUCUGUGUCAUUGACACUAGAAUGCCUAACCUUUUGUUCCUAAAAUAAAGUUCUUUUAUCUGAUGUGGUAAGAGUAACUCCAAUAGUUCAGGUAGCAGAGCGGAUUGGUAUGCACAUGAGAUUUGACUUUUUAAUCCAGUAGAGGGCAAUGGUAAAUGUAUGCAGGAGCCAAUUUGUUCCUUCUGUCAUUUAGUAGUAGUAGUAAUGUAUUUGAAAUCAUAUUAAUCAACUUUCAUGGCAAGAGUUUCUAAAGAAAUGCUUGUAUAACAGGUUUUGUUUAAAUGUUAAACACUUCUGGGACUUAAGUAUGUUCUCACAGAGGUGAAAGUCAUGUCAGCAAAACAGAGGUGGCAGGAUAAUUGCAGUUUCUGAACUGACUAAAAAAAAUUGGCAUGUUGAUGUUGUCUCAGUUCUGUUCAGUAGGUCUUGUGAAGUGGUUGUGACCUGCAUAAUUUUGCCUAGAUGCUUCAGAGUUCCUACUUUCCAUCUCAAACGUGGAACAAAUAGUCCUUAAGUGCACCCAGAAGAAACAAUAAGUAGUACCUGCAUUGCACUCAGUCUUCAUGAAGGCUUGGAAUUUUUUUCAGAUAUCUACAAGCUAGAGGUAGACAUGAAAGAGGAAAUGAGAGGCAAGUAGCCACAAUCCACUUCUGUCAGCUUUUAGGAGUGAAAUCUCUUCAUAUCUAUCCAUCAUGAGGUUUUUGUGCUCAUCACUAGUAUCCAAGUGGACUUCUGUUUGCCUUUCCCUGGUUGGAUUUGUUUACAUUUUUUUGGAUAUAUAUAAAAAAAUAAUUCAUGGUGAGAAAAGCUCUGUCGUCAUGCUCUAGAACCGAUCCAGAGUCUGAUCACUUUUAAUCUUCUUUGGAAAUUCAUUCCUAAGCCAAAUUUCUUUGACCAAAUCACUUGGUACUUGGUUUGGUGAGUUGUAUUGUCCCAGAGGAGCACUUCUGUCCUGUCAUGUCAUGGAUGGAGAAAUGGUCACAUACAGCAGGGUCCUGACCUGCUGAGGACACUGAAUGCCUUGAAGUAGCAAUGGAAGUGGAUUGUGAGAUGGACUCGAGGUUGGGUGCUUGUGAAUCACCAUGGGCAGAUCUUGUCCGGGAGGAAGAAGUCGCGUUCCCUAGGAAGCUGCAGAUGGAAGAAAGCAUUAGUGGCACAAAAUGUCAGCUGAUUGUCCAGGAUCAAUGAUUGAGUUUAAUGAACAGGACCACUUCAAGCCGAGUGGGGUGUGAUGUCGUAGUUCUUUACAAUGUUUUCCUAUUCUGAAGAGGAUCAUGCUGGUCUUGUCUUGAUUCAGCUUGAGCCAGUUCCUCUCUCUUUAGGACUUAAUCUUGUGUGGACUUUGUGACAUUCUUGUGAUUGCAUUGUUUGCAUCUGUUGAGAAUGAUUUUCUUCUGUUUCCAUGGCUGGCAUAUCAUGAGCAGUGCAGCUGAUUCUACAGAUGAUAUCCUGUAGAUAUUGAAGAGGAGAUACAAUGAGGUGGAUUCCUUUGUGAAACUGUGGGUGAGAGCUUUUGGGAAAGAGAAGCUAUCACUGCACUAACUCUCCUUUUUGUGGUCCUCUCCAUUGGAAGAACUCAGUGCCUGUCUGCUUUUGCUCAUGGUUCCCCCAUGAUUAGAAUAAAAUCAUUUUUACAAGAAAGCAGCGUAUGGACAGAAAUAAAAGGGCAUUCAUCGCCUUUGCUAAAUAUUUCCCUUCAAGGAAUCUCUCAUACAUAAACAAAACAAUGUGUCUUGUAAGACUAAACAAAUGCUUCCUGUAAGAUUGCUACUUUGAGGAAGUGUGCUGCUCUGAUAUUUCCAUGAGUCAGGGUUUCAGAACCUGAAAGGAAACAACAUAAGACUUGUGGCAGACGAUUGGCUGGAAAAACUACAAAGAGAGUGCUUCUGCUUGGCAACAUGGUUACUGUUAAUAAUACUUAUGCUCUACUUAAUUGCUACCCUUUUCUCUCCUUUGACUCGUGUCAUUUUACUACUUAACGAGUUUAAACUUUCAAUUACAGAAAUAAAAGCAAAGUACAUAUUUAGCAUAUUCAGCAUUUCUACAAUGGAAAGCUAUAACCUGGGUAAUGGGAAAGAACAAAUCCUACACUGCAGGAAUUACAGAGCUGUGUUAUGAUGGAAGUUAGAUUACACAAUCAUAGUGGACCCUUUUGGCCUUAAAAUCUAUUAACUUUGGAUCUAGUAAAAUACCUUAAAUCUUGCACUGUUGUAUCCAGGAAUGUAAAAUGUAUGCUAUUCUCUUGAUAGCAUAAAACUUAGUGCUUUUGAGUGAGUGUUCAAAAAUCAUGCGUAAUAAAAUGGAGUUCUUAGUUGACUACCCUUUUAUCUGUAGGUUCAGAUGUUGAGAUUAGUUCUGCAGUACUUCUAGAAACAGCCCCACAGAUAUCAAUCUCUUGUGAGAGGGCGGAUGGAUUGGGAGUCAUUUGGAAGUCAUGAGUGAAAUAAGACUGGUUUCAGAACAUAACUCACGUGGGUGAUUUCAUUGUGUAACUUGGUAUAGAUGAUAUAUCCAGCUCGGUAGGGAGUUAGAACUGAAACCAAAGAAUGUCAUAGUGCUCAUACCAUGCCUGACUUUAUAUUAGCAAUUGUCAGGAAUACUGUAAUGCACUCAUACUGUAGAAAUGGAGAAGGGAAGUAGCAUUUUAGAAAUUAUGCAUUAUGUAGUACUUUAUGUAUGAAAUGGGUAAUUGUGGAAAUCAACUAAAUCUGUAAACAGAGCAGUGAUACAAUGAGUGCAGAAACAUUGGAUUAAACAUUUUAUCAGCGA